UUUUACUAAACGGAUGCCACCAGCAAUCUGCCUGAGUUCCUUAAAUGACUCGGCAGGCGGCUUCCGGGAAACCAAAGUUUUUCGGUUCCGGGGGAAGUAUGGUUGCAAAGCUGAAACUUAAAGGAAUUGACGGAAGGGCACCACCAGGAGUGGAGCCUGCGGCUUAAUUUGACUCAACACGGGGAAACUUACCCGGCCUGGACACUGGAAGGAUUGACAGAUUGAGAGCUCUUUCUUGAUUCAGUGGGUGGUGGUGCAUGGCCGUUCUUAGUUGGUGGAGCGAUUUGUCUGGUUAAUUCCGAUAACGAACGAGACUCUAGCCUAUUAAAUAGGCUCCCGGCUUUUAAACGCCGGGAGGACUUCUUAGAGGGACAGGUGGCGGUUCAGCCGCACGAAGUUGAGCAAUAACAGGUCUGUGAUGCCCUUAGAUGUCCAGGGCUGCACGCGCGCUACACUGGAGGAAUCAGCGUGCUGUAACCAUUGCCGAAAGGCAUUGGUAACCCCUUGAAAAUCCUCCGUGAUCGGGAUCGGGAAUUGCAAUUAUUUCCCUUGAACGAGGAAUUCCUAGUAAGUGUGAGUCAUCAGCUCACGUUGAUUACGUCCCUGCCCUUUGUACACACCGCCCGUCGCUGCCCGGGACUGAGCCGUUUCGAGAAAAGCGGGGACUGCUGUUUCGAUACCUUUCGGGGUGGAGAUUCUUUGGUGGAAACCGCCUUUAUCGCAGUGGCUUGAACCGGGCAAAAGUCGUAACAAGGUUUCUGUAGGUGAACCUGCGGAAGGAUCA
RNAcentral lists this ribosomal RNA (784 nucleotides) under uncultured eukaryote. Its description in RNAcentral is "bacterial SSU rRNA". It matches the Rfam family "Eukaryotic small subunit ribosomal RNA", at positions 1027 to 1828 of the family's 1831-position model. The record is from RNAcentral.